GGACAUAUAGCUCAAUGGUAGAGCAUCGGUCUUCGGAACCGAAGGUUGGGGGUUCGAGUCCUCUUGUGUUCG
Molecule: transfer RNA, 72 nt
Rfam family: tRNA
About the family: Transfer RNA (tRNA) molecules are approximately 80 nucleotides in length. Their secondary structure includes four short double-helical elements and three loops (D, anti-codon, and T loops). Further hydrogen bonds mediate the characteristic L-shaped molecular structure. tRNAs have two regions of fundamental functional importance: the anti-codon, which is responsible for specific mRNA codon recognition, and the 3' end, to which the tRNAs corresponding amino acid is attached (by aminoacyl-tRNA synthetases). tRNAs cope with the degeneracy of the genetic code in two manners: having more than one tRNA (with a specific anti-codon) for a particular amino acid; and 'wobble' base-pairing, i.e. permitting non-standard base-pairing at the 3rd anti-codon position.
Source: Rfam